Molecule: ribosomal RNA, 442 nt
Filed under: Ampithoidae sp. 2 AM-2019
Lineage: Eukaryota; Metazoa; Arthropoda; Malacostraca; Amphipoda; Ampithoidae
Description: partial small subunit ribosomal RNA
Rfam family: Eukaryotic small subunit ribosomal RNA
Source: RNAcentral
AGCCCUUGGGUAGUGCACAAUCCAAGUCCGCCGGUUAUGCUGUAAGUUUUUUUAGAGGGAUUCACGGCUUUGAAGCCGUCAGAGAAUGAGAGCAAUAACAGGUUUGUGAUGCCCUUAGAUGGUUUGGGCCGCACGCGCGGUACAAUGCGGGCACAGCAGGUGUUUUACCUUUUUCGAGAGGAGCGGGCAACCCUUUGAAAGCCCUUGGCGUGCUUGGGCCUGGAGCUUGCAAUUUUUCUCCACAAACGAGGAAUGCCUAGUAGCGGGGGGGCAAUGAGCCCCCCGUGAAUCAGUCCCUGCCCUUUGUACACACCGCCCGUCGCUAAUACCGAUUGGGUGUACCAGUGAGAGCCUUGGACUGGCGGCCGCUGCCCCUUCGGGCAAGCGGAUUCGACUGAAAGAGGUCCGAACUGGUGCACUUAGAGGAAGUAAAGGUCAUGCA